This is a long non-coding RNA of Myxocyprinus asiaticus (Chinese sucker), 489 nucleotides long. RefSeq lists it as uncharacterized. Lineage: Eukaryota; Metazoa; Chordata; Actinopteri; Cypriniformes; Catostomidae. The record is from RefSeq and is a predicted model, not a curated record. The transcript is spliced from 3 exons.
AGCUUUUGAACUUCUGGUCAACAAUCACUUACAUGGUAUGGACCUACAGAACUGAAAUAUUCUUCUAAAAAUCUUUUUUUAUUCAUUUGUGUUCAGCAGAAGAAAGAAAGUCAUUCAUAUCUGGGAUGGCAUGAGGAAAUAAGAUCGCAGCAAACUAACCGGUGGUAAAGCGUGGUUUGGCCGGAGGUUCCUGCACUACGAUGGGAAAUGUGGCUGAUGCUGGAGAGGAUUGUGCUCUGGACAGGGGUCGAUGGCCUGGGAAAGUCACUGACAGCCCGGCUGCUUCCAUUGACGCCUGAUAGUUCCUCAGCUGAUGUAUCCUCUGUUGCUCCAACAGGAGAGCUUGCUGCUCAAGGAGUGUCUCUCCCAUCCUCACCUGUCUGAAGAGCAGCUCUUCCUCUGCCUGUCUCUCUCUCAGUUGGAGCUCUUCAUCCUGUUCAUCUGGAGGUUCCUGUUUGAUGGUGACCCCAUGAGGAAGACCCUCUGCGG